Molecule: long non-coding RNA, 970 nt
Filed under: Anas platyrhynchos platyrhynchos (common mallard)
Lineage: Eukaryota; Metazoa; Chordata; Aves; Anseriformes; Anatidae
Description: lncRNA (ENSAPLG00000031042.1)
Source: RNAcentral
UUUUUUUUUUUUUAACACAAAAUGACUUUCAGCUGAACUUCUUUAUAUGGCCAUCUGCGUAAUUACUAUGACUCUUACUGAACUAGCAGCUUGUAGAUUAGUAACUGGAUUCUGCUCCCCCAAUAUCAUUGGGAGUUUUGCCAUUGACUUCAAUAGAUGCAGGACUGGACCCCUUGGAAACGCCUGAUUAUUGGAUAACUCCAAGCACUGGAGAGAGCUGACAUUGGUUGGCAGCUUGCGUGGGAAACGUGAAAGACUCAAAAGGCUGCACCUGUGCUCCCAUUUCUGAGCAGAGACCAACUUUGCUGAAGCCUGUGUGACUCAGUGUAAUGCUGUUGGUUCAUACCAGCUGGGGAUGGACAAACCAAGGGUGGUAACCAGAAGAUACUUGCUACCAGCUGAAACUGAGGUCCUUCACAGGUGGCAGGACCAUUCUGGUGUCCAUGAAAUGGAAAAUAAUUGUCCCACCAUUCUUGCAACUCAUAAAAAAAAUUGGAAUUCUACAUCCCCCUGCUGGAAAAAUGUUUUGAGAAUGCACACAACUUUAUGCCAUUACCUAAUCCUUGUGAACCUGGCAGUUUGGAAAGCAAAGCAAACUAAUAUAUAGCAAAUUCCUCCUCUUUUUCUGCUGAAUUAGUGGGUAGUCCACCUAUGAGAAUUCCUUUUAAAGCAACAGACCUUUUCUACCUAAGAAAUAUACUGGUCGUUCAACAAGGCACAGCAUUGCUGCAGAUUUUGUUGUGGAGAAUGUCUGAGAAAUGAAUGCCUUCACAGGAAAAUAAUAAUAAGGUUUAAAGGGGGUGGGGAAUCAGAAAUAACAAAUUAGUGUGAUAAAAUUGCCUUCAAAAUCCUGAUGAUGGAUGAAAAAUUCUCCUAAGUGAAUCCAGUAUGCUUAAUUAAACUUAAUUGUACAAAGAAUCAUUUGUAAAUGGCUAUAUGUGGAAAAGAAUAAAAAUGCUGGGUGUUAUCA